UAGACGCGAAACCUAGUGAUCUAGGCCUGUCCAGGCUGAAGCUGAGGUAAGACUCAGUGGAGGGCCGAACUCACCGCCGUUGAAAAGUUGGGAGAUGAGGCAGGUUUAGGGGUGAAAAGCCAAUCGAACUAGGAGAUAGCUCGUUCUCUCCGAAAUGCAUUUAGGUGCAGCCUUAGUUGAAGAUAUGCGGGGGUAGAGCACUGUAUGGCCUAGGGGGCGUAUAGCUUACCGAAGUCAAGCAAACUGCGAAUACCGUAUAUUGUUAACUGGGAGUGAGUCUAUGGAUGACAAGGUCCGUGGACGAGAGGGGAACAGCCCAGACCGCCGGCUAAGGUCCCAAAUCAUGUCUAAGUGGGAAAGGAGGUGGAUAUUCACAGACAACCAGGAGGUUGGCUUAGAAGCAGCCAUACCUUGAAAGAGUGCGUAAUAGCUCACUGGUCGAGAGUAUCUGCGCCGAAGAUAUAACGGGGCUAAGACAUGAACCGAAGCCGCGGAAUUAGUUUAUACUAAUUGGUAGGAGAGCGUUCUGUAGGCUGUAGAAGGGGUGUUGUAAGACAUUCUGGAGGUAUCAGAAGUGAGAAUGCAGGAAUGAGUAGCGAGAAGGAGGGCGAGAAUCCCUCCGGCCGGAAGUCCAAGGUUUCCAGGGGAAGGUUUGUCCGCCCUGGGGGAGUCGGGACCUAAGCAUAAGCAGAGCUGCGAAGGCGAAUGGAAAACAGGUUAAUAUUCCUGUACCGCUGUGUACUGACUGAGAGAUGGAGUGACGCAGGAAGGUAUGCGGGAAGGCUGACGGAAUAGCCUUUCUAAGGGUGAAGCGUGGACAUAUAGGCAAAUCCGUAUGUUUAAACGUGAGGCCUGACGGGUAAGUACCUUAGGGUAUAAGCCGCAGAUCCUACACUGCCGGGAAAAACUUCUAUUUAGGGAAGCAGCGCCCGUACUGUAAACCGACACAGGUGGACAGAGUGAGAAACUUAAGGCCGACAGGAUAACUCUGGCUAAGGAACUCUGCAAAAUGGCCCCGUAACUUAGGGAGAAGGGGUGCCCGUGGUACCUGAAGGGGGAGACACCCGGAGGGGAAACGGGCCGCAGUGAAGAGUCCCAAGCAACUGUUUACCAAAAACACAGGUCUAUGCUAAGCCGGAAGGCGACGUAUAUGGGCUGACACCUGCCCAGUGCCGGAAGGUUAAGAGGAGGAUUGAGAGAUCCGAUUUGAAGCCCCGGUGAACGGCGGCCGUAACUAUAACGGUCCUAAGGUAGCGAAAUUCCUUGUCGGGUAAGUUCCGACCUGCACGAAUGGUGAAA
This 1299-nucleotide ribosomal RNA is filed under the name human oral metagenome. Its description in RNAcentral is "bacterial LSU rRNA". It matches the Rfam family "Bacterial large subunit ribosomal RNA", at positions 710 to 2004 of the family's 2925-position model. The record is from RNAcentral.